RNAcentral lists this unclassified non-coding RNA (210 nucleotides) under Hevea brasiliensis (rubber tree). The record is from RNAcentral. Lineage: Eukaryota; Viridiplantae; Streptophyta; Magnoliopsida; Malpighiales; Euphorbiaceae.
AUUCUUUUGCUUUUCUUUUCUUUUUUUUUACUCACAGAUCAUUCUUCAUGUGCAGCAUAUCACUAAGAAAUUCAAUACAUUUUAAAUUACAUAUAUGGCUGCUAUUUCUGAUAUCUUUAAGGAUUGGAUUAAGAUCAAAAAAUAAAGGAGAAAAACAAAAGCAAAAUAAAAGAAAAGAAAAGCAAAAGAAUAGCACCAAAAUGGGGAGGA